GUAGGGGGCAAGCGUUGUCCGGAUUUAUUGGGCGUAAAGAGCUCGUAGGCGGCUAUUCACGUCGGAUGUGUAAGCUCAAGGCUCAACCUUGAGAGGCCAUUCGAUACGGGAUAGCUAGAGGUAGGUAGGGGAGAUCGGAAUUCCUGGUGUAGCGGUGAAAUGCGCAGAUAUCAGGAGGAACACCGAUGGCGAAGGCAGAUCUCUGGGCCUUACCUGACGCUGAGGAGCGAAAGCUGGGGGAGCGAACAGGAUUAGAUACCCUGGUAGUCCCAGCCGUAAACGUUGAGUGCUAGGUGUGGGGCGGUCUUCAACCCGCUCUGUGCCGCAGCUAACGCAUUAAGCACUCCGCCUGGGGAGUACGGUCGCAAGACUA
This 373-nucleotide ribosomal RNA is filed under the name uncultured bacterium. Its description in RNAcentral is "bacterial SSU rRNA". It matches the Rfam family "Bacterial small subunit ribosomal RNA", at positions 527 to 896 of the family's 1533-position model. The record is from RNAcentral.